UGGGGAAUUUUGGACAAUGGGCGAAAGCCUGAUCCAGCAAUGCCGCGUGUGUGAAGAAGGCCUUCGGGUUGUAAAGCACUUUUGUCCGGAAAGAAAUCCUUGGCUCUAAUACAGUCGGGGGAUGACGGUACCGGAAGAAUAAGCACCGGCUAACUACGUGCCAGCAGCCGCGGUAAUACGUAGGGUGCAAGCGUUAAUCGGAAUUACUGGGCGUAAAGCGUGCGCAGGCGGUUUGCUAAGACCGAUGUGAAAUCCCCGGGCUCAACCUGGGAACUGCAUUGGUGACUGGCAGGCUAGAGUAUGGCAGAGGGGGGUAGAGUUCCACGUGUAGCAGUGAAAUGCGUAGAGAUGUGGAGGAAUACCGAUGGCGAAGGCAGCCCCCUGGGCCAAUACUGACGCUCAUGCACGAAAGCGUGGGGAGCAAACAGGAUUAGAUACCCUGGUAGUCCACGCCCUAAACGAUGUCAACUAGGUUGUUGGGGAUUCAUUUCCUUAGUAACGUAGCUAACGCGUGAAGUUGACCGCCUGGGGAGUACGGUCGCAAGAUUAAAACUCAAAUGAAUUGACGGGGUCAUAGCUGUUUCCU
This 586-nucleotide ribosomal RNA is filed under the name uncultured bacterium. RNAcentral describes it as "partial 16S ribosomal RNA". It matches the Rfam family "Bacterial small subunit ribosomal RNA", at positions 355 to 1375 of the family's 1533-position model. The record is from RNAcentral.